RNAcentral lists this ribosomal RNA (460 nucleotides) under uncultured bacterium. Its description in RNAcentral is "partial 16S ribosomal RNA". It matches the Rfam family "Bacterial small subunit ribosomal RNA", at positions 338 to 795 of the family's 1533-position model. The record is from RNAcentral.
CCUACGGGUGGCAGCAGUGAGGAAUAUUGGUCAAUGGACGAGAGUCUGAACCAGCCAAGUAGCGUGAAGGAUGACUGCCCUAUGGGUUGUAAACUUCUUUUAUAUGGGAAUAAAAUGUUCCACGUGUGGGAUUUUGUAUGUACCAUAUGAAUAAGGAUCGGCUAACUCCGUGCCAGCAGCCGCGGUAAUACGGAGGAUCCGAGCGUUAUCCGGAUUUAUUGGGUUUAAAGGGAGCGUAGGUGGAUUGUUAAGUCAGUUGUGAAAGUGCGCGGCUCAACCGUAAAAUUGCAGUUGAAACUGGCAGUCUUGAGUACAGUAGAGGUGGGCGGAAUUCGAGGUGUAGCGGUGAAAUGCUUAGAUAUCACGAAGAACUCCGAUUGCGAAGGCAGUUCACUGGACUGCAACUGACACUGAGGCUCGAAAGUGUGGGUAUCAAACAGGAUUAGAUACCCUGGUAGUC